GCUGGGCAUGGUGGUGCAUGCCUGUAAUCCCAGCUACUCGGGGCAGGGGCUGAGAUGGGAGGAUUGCUUGAGCCCAGGAGGUCAAGGCUGCAGUGGGCUAUGACCGUGCCACUGCACUCCAGCCUGGGCAACAGAGCAAGAACCCGUCUCUA
Nomascus leucogenys (northern white-cheeked gibbon) is the source of this 152-nucleotide non-coding RNA. It matches the Rfam family "Metazoan signal recognition particle RNA". Rfam says of the family: The signal recognition particle (SRP) is a universally conserved ribonucleoprotein. NCBI's taxonomy places the organism in Eukaryota, Metazoa, Chordata, Mammalia, Primates, Hylobatidae. The record is from Rfam.